RNAcentral lists this ribosomal RNA (506 nucleotides) under uncultured bacterium. Its description in RNAcentral is "bacterial SSU rRNA". It matches the Rfam family "Bacterial small subunit ribosomal RNA", at positions 12 to 518 of the family's 1533-position model. The record is from RNAcentral.
UUCGAUUCUGGCUCAGGAUGAACGCUGGCGGCGUAGCUUAACACAUGCAAGUCGAACGGAGUUUUAACGGAAGUUUCGGAUGGAAGUUUAGAAACUUAGUGGCGGACGGGUGAGUAACGCGUGGGUAACCUGCCUCAGUACAGGGGGAUAACAGUUAGAAAUGACUGCUAACACCGCAUAAUAUAGCGAAACCGCAUGAUUUUGCUAUCAAAUAUUUAUAGGUAUGAGAUGGGCCCGCGUCUGAUUAGCUAGUUGGUGGGGUAAAAGCCUACCAAGGCGACGAUCGGUAGCCGGCUUGAGAGAGUGACCGGCCACAUUGGGACUGAGACACGGCCCAAACUCCUACGGGAGGCAGCAGUGGGGAAUAUUGGACAAUGGGGGGAAACCCUGAUCCAGCGACGCCCGCGUGAGUGAAGAAGUAUUUCGGUAUGUAAAGCUCUAUCAGCAGGGAAGAUAAUGACAGUACCUGACUAAGAAGCCCCGGCUAACUACGUGCCAGCAGCAGC